Molecule: non-coding RNA, 3694 nt
Organism: Pogona vitticeps (central bearded dragon)
Lineage: Eukaryota; Metazoa; Chordata; Lepidosauria; Squamata; Agamidae
Source: RefSeq, a predicted model, not a curated record
AACCAAGGCAGCUUAUAAAUCUGCUGGGCUUAAGCUUCCCUCCUUCCUUGACUCCAGGGAUGGGGUUCUCCUCUGGCAAAGUUAUGAUUACUUAACACUUCUCUUUGUCAAUGUGUGUGGUGUGAGAAUUAGUUACGAUGCAAGAUUUUUGGCUAGAUGUUUCCGUUCAUCCAGCAUGUGUUUGAAAUGGAACACUUCCGACACAUAGCCGCUUCUGCCUGAACUUUACAGGAACCAGUUGGUAUCAUUUACAGGUUGUUGUUUUUUUUGUCCUCUCAUCAUGUGGGUAUCCAGAAACCCUUGACGUCUGUGGUUAUUUUUAGUCAUCAUAGAAAAAAGUUUAUGCAAACUAAGCAGUUCAUUUUGGUCCCCUUCUCAGGGGCAAAGAGUUCUUCCCUCUUUUGUCAACAGACCUAGAACCAGGGUGCCUUUAAUACCAAACGGGGAGUGGGCAGUACACCCCUCCGUCUUCUGCAACACCACUCACAGUCCCGUAAGCCGUCUUUUCCUUCCUCUUCCUCCUCGUACUGAGAUUCAGUGCUUCUCUGGCACCGGGAGAGCUUGGACUACGAGGAUUGGAUUUAAGAAGUUGAGAUUUGAGUUCUGCUAGUGUUCACCUGAUCUGAACUUUGCUUCCCGACACAAGUCUGGUUUAUUUGGCCACAGCGAGUGCCUCGGAAAAUGCAUGUCCUUUUGGAAAGCCACCAGUAACAAAGUAAAAGCAUCUCCUAUGUGUUGGCGUUUUCCCUUGCAGGGCUCAAAAGUUUUGAUGCAGCCUCGGCCAGCCCCUUUAAAAAAAAUUAAGUGCAAGCUGGCUCCAGAAAGGUGAGGUUUUUAUCCCCUGGAAUUGUUUGCAUCGCUGUUUGUAUGGGAAGUGAAAUAGAGGAGCCAGUGUUUCUGAACGGUAGUCGUAGAAUCGUACGUUUUCUGCCUUGGCAGGUAAUUUCAUAUAAAUUGUUAAUGUAAAUUGAGGUUACGAGGAAAGAUUUCUUUCCUAAAAAAGACAAACUGCUGAUUAAUUCAGUAUAGAACUCAAUUACAAAUUGAAAGGGCCACUGCGGGACUCCAGAGCCCUAAAGACAACAGAUGUUGAAUUGAUACUCCAGCAUAUUUCACACUGAUAUGAAAUAUUCACAGGGUUUAUUAUACUUGUGUUGUAGGAUGUGAGGAAGGGAGGCCCGGCUUACAAGCAUUUGCACAGCGCAUGGUGAGAACAGCCUCAGUCCAAUCAGCUGUAAUUAAAGCCUUUUAAAGGAAAUUGAUAUUUCGGGGGGGGGGAUACUUUGGAACAAAGCCUGACGAAGUUUAAAUUUCUUCCUUUUUGUGUUUGGUUGUUUCUCGUGUGUACGUGUCAAAUCAUGCAGCACUGCAUCUUUACAAAAUGCCCAGCGUCAGGACGCUCAUACUAUUCCUUCUGCCUGCUUCAGAUCCUGACAUGCUGAUCCUCAGAUUUCAUGUGGGGUGAAUGCAAACGUCUUACCUGUGUAUCUUGCAGUCCCAGCUGAAGAAGGCUUCCCUCUUGUUCCCACAAAAUAGUUUCCGCUGCGCUCAAGCCCGGCAGCACAUCAAACAAAGCUUUGGGGAAGUAGAUAUUUGUGAUUAAAGAGCAGCCAAGCUUAUUUCUUUCUUCCCUGAAAAUCUCUUAAAAUGCGUCGUCUGUUUCCCAGGAUGGAGAGCAAUUAACAAGCUGUCUGCUUACUUAGUCGAUGGCGACGCUUGGACUAACAGUCGGGGCUCUCUUCACGAGAAAUGUUUAGAGCAGUCUCGAAAGCUCUGCUUGGUACAGAGGUCUCAAGGGACAAGAAUGGGCCUUUUCACCACACAGCGUUUUCAAUGAGGGCCACAGAGGUAUGUCUCUUUGGAUUCCAGCUUCCGGAAUCUCCAGGUAUUUCCUCCUGAGAUUUGGGAGUCCAGAAACACAAAUCCACACACACACACACACACCAGUUUCACAUAAUUUUGUGCCUCCUGCAGUAGUAAAUUCUGGCACAUCUCUCCUGUUGGAGGCACGUUAUGCUCUUAGAAAAGGCAAGUUAGCGGACCAGCCUGAAGGUUUGCUUUGCUCCAGGACAGGUGCCAAAAGUGAGGUAUACUGUUGCAGCUUUCUGAGAAUCGAGGUGCAACAUCCUUCAUAGAGGACAGUCCUCGCAACUGCUGGUGGGGAAUGCAUACUUUAAAAAUCAUCACACAUACUAGAGAAGUGCCCUUUUUCUGGUACUCUUUGGUAUUUUGAGAAAUAGAAUGGAGACCAGUUUCGUUGCCACCUUGAGCUUUGCAGGAUGACUGUGCAGGGCAUCUGUUUGCUUUCUUGCUUUGUAAAGGCAAGAAUUCAUGUUGCAUCUGGUUCAUGGUGAGGAAUAGGUUCCCCUUCACUUCCUGGCACUGUCACAGGAUUAGGAACAUGUUGAGCAUCUGUGCAUUUGAUGUUUUAAUCUCAUUUUUACUGCUGGAUAGUUGUAACAGAGGGAGAAACAGUGAGCAAUAAAUGCAAGUUGGUUCUAUUACUUGUGCUGUCUACCUGUUCGGUGAAACGCCUCCACGUUCACACAGCUUGCCUUUAUAGCAGUGGCACCGUCUGCUAGGCAGAGGUAGCUUCCUCACGUGCACAUAUGUGCACAAGACAGAAUUGCAUAAGCGAGUGCAGCUGAGGUUGAGGUGGUGGCCAUCUUGAGAUCUCGUCUCGUUUACAUGGGUUAUGAGAGAAAUGCUGUCGGAGCCCUGUAAAACCACGGCCCAAAAGCAGAAGCAUCACUCGGUGUAGAAUUUAAAAGGCUUCUGAUACAAUCAUUCCUGAUUAAUUGCUCAAAAGGCAAGUGGAGUCUCUCAGUGUUUUUCAUUUAGUAGAAGUUUGUGCUUCAGACACUGGUGGUCAAUGUCUGUUGCUUUCCUCUCGUUCUGUGGGAAACGGGGAACACGAGAAUGCAACUCUCUGUCAGUGUGUUUUUUCUGUCAGCUCUGAAGAUGAAAUGGAAACAGUCACAGGCUGCAGCCUAGAUGAAGUGGUCAACUUCCAGCUUUUUCUUCUUUUGAGGUUAAAAAAAACGGGGUGGGAGAGGUAUGAAGUAAUCAAAUCCUUUUGAUUUGGAGUGGUGAUGCUGGGUCAGUUCUCUCCCGAAGCUUCCCAGCAGAUUUAGCUUUGCUUCCAGUUACGUAUUGAUCUCUACACAAUUUCUCCCAGAAGACAGGCGUACCCGCAUUUCUACACAAUCGAGGCUGCCGAUUACUCUUCCAUGGUCUAAUUAUCUGCCUCUAGGUCUAGGUAUCCUUCAAAAGCUAUCGUUUUUGUAGUCCCAAAUUCCCACCACUUCUAUAUAGAUUUUUACUGCUUCUCCGACUUGCCUCUUGCCUCCAUCCUCUCAGCCCAGUUAUCUCUCUCAGAUUCUCACUUAAAGUAAUUUGUACACUUUAGUUUUUGUUUUUUGUUUUUUUGGUGGAGAAAGGGCAUUGAACGUAAUUCUGAUGUGCACACUGGAACUGUGGCAGUCUGUUUGGAAAAAGAUGUAACUGUGGACCAUCCAGACAGCACUGGGGUUGUGGGUAGCAUUUCAUGAGCAUGGAACCGUUUCCAGAGGUGUAAAAACUGCUUGCAGGCUCUAAAUAUGUGAAUGUAAAUUCAUUAACUUCCUUCCCUGUCCAGAUUUUAUGAGUAGCAUGCCUUAAACAGUCACAUAUUAUUUCAUUGGAGGGAAAAGUG